This 495-nucleotide ribosomal RNA is filed under the name uncultured bacterium. RNAcentral's name for it is "partial 16S ribosomal RNA". It matches the Rfam family "Bacterial small subunit ribosomal RNA", at positions 28 to 507 of the family's 1533-position model. The record is from RNAcentral.
GACGAACGCUGGCGGCGUGCCUAAUACAUGCAAGUAGAACGCUGAAGGAGGAGCUUGCUUCUCUGGAUGAGUUGCGAACGGGUGAGUAACGCGUAGGUAACCUGCCUGGUAGCGGGGGAUAACUAUUGGAAACGAUAGCUAAUACCGCAUAAGAGUAGAUGUUGCAUGACAUUUGCUUAAAAGGUGCAAUUGCAUCACUACCAGAUGGACCUGCGUUGUAUUAGCUAGUUGGUGAGGUAACGGCUCACCAAGGCGACGAUACAUAGCCGACCUGAGAGGGUGAUCGGCCACACUGGGACUGAGGCACGGCCCAGACUCCUACGGGAGGCAGCAGUAGGGAAUCUUCGGAAAUGGACGGAAGUCUGACCGAGCAACGCCGCGUGAGUGAAGAAGGUUUUCGGAUCGUAAAGCUCUGUUGUAAGAGAAGAACGAGUGUGAGAGUGGAAAGUUCACACUGUGACGGUAUCUUACCAGAAAGGGACGGCUAACUACGUG